GACGAACGCUGGCGGCGUGCCUAAUACAUGCAAGUAGAACGCUGAAGAGAGGAGCUUGCUCUUCUUGGAUGAGUUGCGAACGGGUGAGUAACGCGUAGGUAACCUGCCUUGUAGCGGGGGAUAACUAUUGGAAACGAUAGCUAAUACCGCAUAACAAUGGAUGACACAUGUCAUUUAUUUGAAAGGGGCAAUUGCUCCACUACAAGAUGGACCUGCGUUGUAUUAGCUAGUAGGUGAGGUAAUGGCUCACCUAGGCGACGAUACAUAGCCGACCUGAGAGGGUGAUCGGCCACACUGGGACUGAGACACGGCCCAGACCCCUACGGGAGGCAGCAGGAGGGAAUCUUCGGCAAUGGGGGCAACCCUGACCGAGCAACGCCGCGGGAGUGAAGAAGGUUUUCGGAUCGUAAAGCUCUGUUGUAAGUCAAGAACGGGUGUGAGAGUGGAAAGUUCACACUGUGACGGUAGCUUACCAGAAAGGGACGGCUAACUACGUG
Molecule: ribosomal RNA, 497 nt
Filed under: uncultured bacterium
Lineage: Bacteria
Description: partial 16S ribosomal RNA
Rfam family: Bacterial small subunit ribosomal RNA
Source: RNAcentral